Molecule: ribosomal RNA, 767 nt
Filed under: uncultured bacterium
Lineage: Bacteria
Description: bacterial SSU rRNA
Rfam family: Bacterial small subunit ribosomal RNA
Source: RNAcentral
AGAGUUUGAUCAUGGCUCAGAAUGAACGCUGGCGGCGUGCUUAACACAUGCAAGUCGAACGGUAGCAGGGACUUCGGUCUGCUGACGAGUGGCGCACGGGUGAGUAAUAUAUAGGUAAUGUGCCCCUUAGUCUGGGAUAGCCACUGGAAACGGUGAUUAAUACCGGAUACUCCUUCUGAUUUAAUGUCAGAUGGGAAAGGUUUUUCGCUAAGGGAUCGGCCUAUAUUGUAUCAGUUAGUUGGUGAGGUAAUGGCUCACCAAGACUAUGACACAUAGCGGGUUUGAGAGGAUGAUCCGCCACACUGGUACUGAGACACGGACCAGACUCCUACGGGAGGCAGCAGUGAGGAAUAUUGCACAAUGGGGGAAACCCUGAUGCAGCAACGCCGCGUGGAGGAUGACGCAUUUCGGUGUGUAAACUCCUUUUAUCAGAGAAGAAAAUGACGGUAUCUGAUGAAUAAGUCCCGGCUAACUCCGUGCCAGCAGCCGCGGUAAUACGGAGGGGACAAGCGUUAUUCGGAAUCACUGGGCGUAAAGGACGCGUAGGCGGGUUUUUAAGUCAGGUGUGAAAUCCUACAGCUCAACUGUAGAACUGCACUUGAAACUGGGAACCUAGAGUAUGGAAGGGGCAGGUGGAAUUAGUGGUGUAGGGGUAAAAUCCGUAGAUAUCCUAGGAAUACCGAAAGCGAAGACGACCUGCUGGGACAUUACUGACGCUGAGGCGUGAAAGCGUGGGGAGCAAACAGGAUUAGAUACCCUAGUAGUCC